UCGCCUUGGGUCUAGGGAGGGCAGAUGGCAGAGGCAGGAGAGCAGAAGCAUUUCCUCCUUCAGCGUCCGAGACGGAAAAGCAAAUCUGCUGGACAAAAGAACCUCCACGUUUUAUGUGUUCUGUUGUCAGGCGCUUCACGGCGACAGAGCGAUGUCGAAGGUGAGUCAGGUGCUGUGGCUGGAAGGUCAGGACGGCCAGUCAGCAAAGCCUUCCUUCCACUGCCCGCCUGGCCCCACUGACCCCUCUUCCUCUUCCUCCUCCCCUCCCUGUCGGCCAGUAUUCUCAUCCCUGGUCCUCAGCCCGCUGCUGGGCGUGGACGCUGUGGGGAUACUUUAUGGACAAGUUUUUACUCUCCCUGGAGCAGGGAGAGGUCCGGGUAAGUUCAGUGACUUGGCCAAGGGGCUGUGGUCAGGGAGUAAGAAGUCUGCCCCCGACAGCCACGUGAGCCAUCAGGAGGCUUUUAGACACAGCGAGCGCUGCUGUGCCCUCUUGGGCCCGAUGGUCUAGGAAAGUCCAAACUCAUUUCCUGAAAUAAGGAUGACAUUUAGUAAGGCAGUCUGGAAGCUGAAAACAAGUGGUCAGAGCCUCCCCUCCUCCCGACCGGUCCACAGGGCAUCUGCCAAAGCCUGGUGCCCUACAGAGAAUAGGACAAGAACACAGCCCGCAGGAAAACUGCUCUGCUCAUCUCCCCACUUUGCCCUGUUCUCUUCCCUUCCUCUGUCCCAAGCCCCCGGACCUGCCAGGCCCAGAGGAGGUCACAGAAUAUUUUUGAUCAUGGUCCUGGCGGUGGGAGUGAUGGGCUGUCCGAGGAGCACCCGGGAGACCAGCUGGAUGCAAGCAUGAGCACCGUGGAGCCGCCUGGAGGCCAGCUUCUCACACCCAUGCUGUCUUCUGGAUUGUGGCACGUCCCUCCUAUCGGGUCUGCUGGCCACCGCUCCCACCUCCUCCGGCCCAGUCUCCACUCCAGCCAGAAAGGAGCAUUGCCAGGCACACACCCAGUAAGCUUGCUACUCACUUGAAAUCUGUGGUGGGUUUCCCAAAGCCCUCUGACUUAGCCUGAACCCCAACCUGACUUUGAGAUCCUCACGCUCAAUCCCCUGGCUCUCUCGGAAGUUCCUUCCCGCUGCUGCACCUCACGCUCCGCGCUCCAGACUCCCCCACUUCAGAGAAUCCAUCAUUCUUCCUCCUGCCUUCCAGAAAUUGCUUUGAACUCAAUGUCACUCUGCUCAGAACACCCUCACCAGCAACUCCCCCUUGCCCCCACCGGCCUGCAGGUCCGUGCCUGUCCUCUCCCGUCCCACCCCCUAAGCCAAGUGAGGCUAAGUGUCCUUCCCACGGCAGGCUGGGCCCCCCACCCCCACCCCGGAGCCCUCCCCACAACGUAGGCCAAGCUCCUAAUGUUCGUCUCUGUUCCCAGCUAGACAGAACCUCCACAAAGCACAGUGGUGGUCUCCAUAUCACUAGCCUGGUGCUGACGCCCCAGACCAGGCCUGCCUGUCUUUUGCUCACUCCAAGUCUCCCUCCAGCCAUUAGCGGGGGCAGGGGAGAUGCUCUGGGACUUGGUGCCAGGAUCCUAGCGCUGCUCGGUACUCCCCUCACUCCGUACCUUCAGGCAGGUCACUGUCCCUCUGGCCCUCAGUUUCUCUACCUGCUCUUCUCUUCCCACAAGCUCAGAAGUAAAGCGACCAAAGCAGCUUGAUUGACUGACUCCCAUUUUUUUCUUUAAGUUGACUUAUUUAUCUUGAGAGAGAGAGAGAGAGAGAGAGAGAGGAGAGCAGAGAGAGAAUCUCAAGCAGGCCCCCCGCUGCCAGCGCAGAGCCCAACACGGGGCUCGAACUCACAACCGGUGAGACCGUGAUCGGGGCAGAAGUCAAGUGACUGACUGACUCCCCUCGAAAAUGUUAUUUUAGCGUAGUAACAUGGUACCUACCACCUUAACAGAUGUCCAAGUGCACAAUACAGUAUCGUUGACUCUAGGUGCAGUAUUCUGUGGUUGACUCCGUUUUGGCGUGGGCUGGGGAGAGCUGGACUGCUGACAGUCCCCUGCCCACUGCCUGCCUUCCAGUGUCCCGGCCUGGGCAGCUGCGUCACAGGAGGCAGGGGUCUGGUGGGUGGGUUUGCAGUGGUUCAAUCAAGGGAGAAAGCGUGUGCCGAAACACAGACAGGGUCACCCAGAGAGCUGGGCUGGGGCCAGGGAAGUUUCCCCAGAUUCUUCAGAGACGUUGUGCUCCUUACCUCAGGGAAACAAUUAGCCAUUUCUCAGGGACCCAAGGAGGCAGAGUCAGAAACUGUGCCCCCACACACACAAACAGCCUCACAGAGCCUGGGGGCCAAGGCAGGGAGCUUAGCCGGGACACAAAGCAAGACAGUAAGGUGGCAGAAGAGAUGAGACAUUUUGCCCGGGGGCCUGUGAUCCAACAAAUUGCAUCUUUCCUGUCUGGCUUCAGGACAGACAGAGCGUUGGCCUGCUUCCUGCUCGCUACCCCUCCAAAGGCCAGCACCUGUUUGGCUUUGAGCCGCUACGUAAAAAACACGUAUUUGCCUGAUUUAACAGCCAAUGAUAGAUUCAUGAAUCAAAACUCCACUUUAUUUUUCUUUAAGUUUAUUCAUUUAUUUUGAGACACACUGAGACAGAGUGAGCGGGGGAGGGGUAAAGAGAGUGGGGGAGAGAGCGCGAGAGAGAAUCCCAAGCAGGCCCCGCACCAUCAGCACAGAGCCCAGUGUGGGGCUCGAACCCACAAAACCGUGAGAUCAUGACCUGAGCCGAAACCAAGAGUCGGACGCUGGACCGACUGAGCCACAUUGGUGCCCCUCAAAGCUUCACUUUAAAUUCUACCACAAAUGAUAAUCGUUGGCCAGUAUUGCCCGAGCCUGAAUCCCCGACACCAGACGAAAGUCAAACCCGUUUUAAUUUGCUCAUUGGCACUGAUAAGUUAAAAGAAACUCAUCUUCUAGCACAGACUAUGAGAUGGAAUUAGAACUCAUGAAGCCACACGUGUUCUUGCCUGAUGCUUUUGAUAAAGACAAAUACACUCCUUGUCAGAAGUUAAACAAAAUGAGUUUUAGGGACUACAAGUUCCCUCUGCCUUUGAGGAGGGGGUGAUCAGAGUGCUGCCCGAGAGAGAGAGCCUGUGGCCCUUCCUUUGCAGGCUAUGGGGCAAGAUUAGCUCAGCCCCUCUUUGGGACAUGCCUCUUUCUCCUCCUGCAUUCCCGGAUUUCCAGGCUAGUUGGGCUUCCUAAUUUGGAAGUCACCACAGAGCAAACGCUGACAGCACUUGAGUGUCCUGCUGUGAACUCCCUGAGAGGCAGUGGCCCUGGUUACAUAACACGCACCUCGGUUAACCCCUCCAAAUGCCUCUCAAGGUUCCCAAGCGGAGUGGAGAUGAGGCUCCAGACCCCCACGCACUGAAGCUGUGACAUCCGCACGCAGCCUUUCUGUUGCAUAGACAUUCCUCCCAGUCCUGCUCUCUUCCUGCUCUUUCCACUUUCCCCACCCCCUCACCCAGAGGUGGGCCUAGAAUCUCACUCUGGGCCAGCCCUCGAAGGCAAGGACCUCAUGGUCUUUGCAUCCACGCUAAUACUCAACACACUGUUGGGCUCAUC
This 3604-nucleotide long non-coding RNA is filed under the name Lynx pardinus (Iberian lynx). The record is from RNAcentral. Lineage: Eukaryota; Metazoa; Chordata; Mammalia; Carnivora; Felidae.